Lolium perenne is the source of this 1244-nucleotide non-coding RNA. The record is from RefSeq and is a predicted model, not a curated record. NCBI's taxonomy places the organism in Eukaryota, Viridiplantae, Streptophyta, Magnoliopsida, Poales, Poaceae.
AGAACGCACGCGAUUUGCAUCGAAAUCUUGCGAACGACGAACGUCACACUUUCAUCCACCAAAUUUUGAGACGAUUGUUGCGACGCAGCGGCGUCUAUGGCUACGACUAUGGGGCCAGGAAGGAAGCGCGUCUUUGACGGUAAGCAAUAAAUUUUAGCAUCUUGAUACUUCUUCCUCAAAGUGUUUAUGCUACGAUGUAUAUGCAUCUGUCACUGAUUCAAGAGGAAACAUCAAGAUCAAAGUAAUUAUAUACUCCGCCAUCGAAGCGAGGCUAUAAAUCAUGGCCUCCCGAUGUGAUGGAAUCGGCGAUCGAAUACAUGAGCGCGGGACGACUAUCCCCACGAUGUUGGUUUAUCCCUACGAUUGUGGAUUACCUCAACAAGGGUGGUCGACUGCAGCUCUGUAUAAUCUAUGACGGAAGUAUGCGGCCAAACGCCAAAUAUGAUAGAGUCGAAAUAUCAAAUUGAUCUUGCUCCUUACCGGGAGGCAUGCUCAAUCAUUCAUCUACAUCGACUCUUACAGGGAGGCGUCCAUACAAUAUAUCCAUCAUCGAUCUUGCUCCUACACGAACGCGAGAUUAACAUAUUUGAGAAGCAUCAUCCAACAUGCAUAUGUGAUAUUAUUUUACAUUGACACCUUGGCCAAGUGUCGACGAGACAAUGGCUACAUAUCAUUACCAUCAUGUCUAAGCUGACGAGGCUAGACAAAAUCAUGGCCAAGUGCCGACGAGGCUAGGUCACCAUUAUUAUCGACAUGUCCCAAACCUACGGGAUCAGACACAUUGUUGCUUGGCACCGACGAGGCGAUAGCAACACAUGCACAUGUCCGUGUCCGAUGAAGUCAGGGCGUUACAUGACUGGGCACCGACGAGGCGAAAGUCAUCCCCUUCAUCGACAUAUCUUGUUGGUCAUACCAACAUCGCGAUAGUAUAAGUGACUGGAUUUCGGCGAAACAAAGCCACCCGCACACAUAUUUUCCAUGAAUAUCACAUGCAUAUGGAUGAGCAAUCCAAACAUGACGACGACCAUCAGUGCAGCUUAAUCGGAGGUAUUCUGCGGGGCUUGACCCUGCGGAUGUAAUUAACCGGAUGCUUGCAAACGCACCGGGAAUCAAUGAACUACGCAAUCUCCUAAGUCAGAUACUCCAUGAGCGCGACGUAGAAGGCAAAAAGGAUAUAGUCCUAUUGGAACAUGCAAUAUGUAUUUGUACAAUGCAAUGAUAUGAAUAAAAUGCAGUGUUCCUCA